Molecule: long non-coding RNA, 3827 nt
Organism: Grus americana (Whooping crane)
Lineage: Eukaryota; Metazoa; Chordata; Aves; Gruiformes; Gruidae
Exons: 7
Source: RefSeq, a predicted model, not a curated record
CUGCGUGAUCAUGCUCUCGCCAGGAGCCAAGAUGAUGCGGCAAUGCUUCCCCAUCUGUUUUACGCUGCAGGUCGCUCCAGAGACACCCCAGAUAAGUCCCACUUGACGUUGCCCCCCACGUUCUUCUGGGUGAUGCUCCUGUGGUCGGGAUGUGAUGCUUCCCAGUGUCGGCCUGCGGAAGCCCUGUGGAGUGGGGACGUUGCUGAGCCCAGCUGCUGUGACAUCCCAGAUAAGUCCUCGAGAGGCUGGGUGGAGCGGCUGAAAGCCCUGCCAAGCCUCCAGCAUCAGCAGAUCCGCUACGCAGUUUCUGAGCCCAACCAGGCAUGCUAUGACAUACUUCCAUGUCACGCUCAGCAAGCAACACGGUAGGAUUUCCAUGCCAAUGUGGAGAAGAGCGCUAAACCUUCAGUUUUGGUGGUAGUUGGCAUAACGGUUCACGCAGGAUCUGAAGCAGAAAACUUCCUUGCAGGGCAGGCCGUGUAUUGCAACAUCUCUCAGUCUUCUGCAGUGUGAGCUACUGUGGAACGAGGGACCCGAGGAGAGCUCUCCACGGCUCUGAUGUGACUAUUCCUCCACAACCGUUUCCAAAGGAAUUUCAUUGGGUUGUUUUCUGACUACUUAGUUCAAACAAGGCAUGUCUCAGCCACCUGAUUCAGGCUUUAGAAAUGACAGAAGCGUCAGAGAUACUGAGCAGACUUUCAGUGCUGUGAAAACAGUGGGGCGAUAGCAGUCACUAACAGAAGAAAAUAACUUUGUUUUCUGAAUUCCUUCAUUCAAUGGCAUCAACACUCAGAAGUUCCUGUCAGAUACUCCUGACUACACCAGGAACCUUUCUCGGCAGAGUCAGAUGUGCUGUUUUGCAUUAGGAGCUGAUGAAUGUAAAGCUGAGAUUUUCCCUGAGAAUCUGGAAGAGAAGCUGAAUUCACUUCAGUGAAAAGUGAGCCAGCGUGCUGCAACAUCAGUGGAGUCUUUCAGUCAGUCAAAGGCAUUCAGCUGUCCCAGCAAGAGGGCACUAACAAACAGAACUGGGCAGAAAUGAAAGCUGCCCCUUCGAAACGGAAAUAAGAAGAGCUGUGCCUGAGCCGUGCCCCGCACCGAGCAGCGGAAGGAGCGUGCCUGGGUUUUGCUAACGCCUGCUUUCCCCUCUGUCCGAGCCCGCACCCCAGCUGCGUUACUGGUAGGGUGAUGGUUUUCAGUAAGCCAAAUCAGAGUUUCACUGAGAGAACUAGAAUUCUCUGGAGUUUCACUGAGACAAGAUUUGGAGCCUCAGAAAAGGUAAUCCAUAUUGCCAAAGGUUGACUUGUAUGAAGAAAUGAGCCAGAGAAGAGCUGCAUGAAGCUGGUUGCUACCCAAAAGUAGUAUGGAAGAUCCGCAGGAAAUUGCAGAAGAAAGUUAAUGCUGCAUAAAGCAUCAUUAACUCCUGUUGUGAACUCUGUCGUCUCGCUCGCUGGGGUCACAGAGCACAGACAGCAGUCAGAAACUAAUAACAACAUGGCUGCUGGGCCAGCCAGAUAGUCAUAAUUAGUUUGAGCAGUGGAGAGCAGAUUACAAAAAUUGUCGUUCCCUACACGUUCUGCUGCGGAGCCGAAGGCUCAGGCGCAGGCGCAGGCACUGGCCCCAACCCUGCUCCGCACUCACGCUCCAGCCUCAACCUGGGGCACAUCCAAGCAAGUAGAAAGUUGUGCUAAGCUAUGCAUAACUCGAAUGAUUUCUACCCCAUGGGAAUGGGGCGCGUUUAGCUUAGUUUCUCGGAGGACCCUUCCCUUCUAUAUAUUUUGACAAUUUAAAGAGACUUUUCUCUGACACCUCAGGCUGGAGAUGUGAUGCAAGAUGUGGAUUAAUUUCUCAGAAAGCCACACAAACUAAAUCCUCGUACAGCAAAUCGCUGGAGACUGCACUUUCAUAUUUAUUUUUGUUAUUGUUGGUGGAGAUCACUGCCAACCCCAGUAACUGAAGCUUACAGAGGAGGCUGUUACGGAGCAAAUCCCUCAUGCUGCCUCUUGGACAUGCUUCUGGCAUAUUGCAUAUGGGCAGGUUUGGGACUGCUCUGCAGGGUCAGGGCGAGGUAGUUUUCCCCAGCCCUCGGGGCUUAGUCAGGACUGACGUCGUCUGCUAGGUUUUGAACACAGCUGGCAAUUCUUACUUGUGGGUUUGCGAUGAAAAAAUUGUCAGCUGGAAACCGCUCAGGGAACACAGCUUUUUGCUUGGACUGAAUGAGAACUAGUAGGCUACAGAUGAAAGAUUAAUUCCCUGAACCAUCCCUCCAAACUGUCUAAUUUAAAUAUAACAGCAGCAAAAUAAACUUUUCCCACAGCAGAAGGGAAUAAAUGUAUCGUUACCUUUCGCUUAGAACCUGCCCCAAAAUCUGGUGAUUUUUUUUUUCUUUUCUCUUCUUUUUCUCACCUGAAAUUCUUUCUAUACUUAUUUUUGAAACAGAAACUUUUUUCCAAAUGCACGAGGGCAGGCGAAGUGGUAUUGGAAGGUUUUAGGGAACAGGAGUCAAUUUUUGGUGGAGACUCACCCUGACACACCAAGAAUUGCUUCAGCAGGAAUGGGAAAGGAUGUGGGGUGAAGACAAGACUGCUUCUGCCUCCUCUCUGCCAGGGAAGCCUUCUACUCACCAGUACACACGUGUGACUCUUAUUUCCUUGCUUUUUUGCAAAAAAAAUCCAGCCAUUUGCAAAGGUCAUGGAAAAGCAAUGUUUCCUGUCUAGAUCUAUUAUAAUUUGAACUUAUAAAAAUACCUAGUAACAGAAGGCUCAUUCAGGCUGGAAGGCUACAGCAUUUACAAGCAUUUAUCAGACAGUCACCAGUCUUUUUAAUCUGCAGUUUUCAGUUUGCCAAAUAAAAGCUUUUAAAAAGAUCAUUUUUCUUCCACAUGUACAAGACUAAGUGGAGUUUGUGUAAAGCAAUUGAGGAGUGCGUUUCAAUACAUUCAUUAGAAGCACAUAUAGGCUUCUGUUAAAGGCAAAAGUGUUUUUCACAUAAUCAGAACUCUUAGUAAUUACUCAGCAUGCAGUAAAAAUAUACAAUUGAGGAUGACAAAGAAUGUCAUUUGGGACCCUGCAGAAAAAGAAGCCACCAGAUGACAUUAAUUAUGCUAAAUAUUGAAUCACAUUCAGCUACUGUCGCAUGUGUUAUUGCCUUUCAUUUGCUGCUUACGAAAUCAGUUGAUUAAAUAAUCCCAGGUUGUACAGUUUGGAACAAUUGGAUUGAUCCAGUUAUAAAUUAUUGUGCAUUUCAAAUUACAUUCCAUUGUCUCCCUGACCACAAAGCAGAAGAAAUCCUUCAAGCCCAAGGUUGGCUUGAGCUGAGAAUUACCUAGCAAAGUGCAAAUAGAAUUUAGGGCGCUGCAUAAAAAAUAAUAGUGUUAGUUACAUUCCCCCUGACUAAGCACAACACAUGAUGAAACUUAAUUACUUCCCAAAAGCUUAAAAAAGAAGUCAAGUAUGAAGAGAAUUUUACCUUUCAAAUUGAAUACAUUUUCUUACCCUAAUAAGACAAAGUUUUGGCCCAAUACCACUAAUUUCCACUUUACUUUUUAUUCUGAUCCCAGCUCUUGCAAGUCCUUUCUCUGGAAGUCCACUGAGAAGCAUGCUUUCAUAAUUAAAUGUAUAAACCUUGUUUUCACUGAAAUCGGGUUCUGCAAAGAAAUGGUUCCCAUAAAACAUUAUAGAGACUGUACAGAACAUAUUAAAGUACCUGUAUUAGAAUGUAUGGAACAAAAAAGAUGAAUUUGUUCAUUUUUGUAUUGCACCUGAACAAAAUUAGCUGUUGUAAAAUUAUAUUAAACAUUGAUAUACUUUUCAGAUUCUAUUUUGAAUUUC